GCAGCGCGCGUGUGCACUCGGCGUCGAGUGGCGCACGCGAGUGAAUAGCAUAUGAAUCUGCCCCCACUCCGUGGGGGAUAACGUAGGGAAACUUACGCUAAUACCGCAUACGUCCUACGGGGGAAAGCGGGGGAUCUUCGGACCUCGCGCGGCGGGAUGAGCCGAUGCCGGAUUAGCUAGUAGGUGGGGUAAAGUCCCACCAAGGAGACGAUCCGUAAAUGGUCUGAGAGGAUGAUCAUCCACACUGGGACUGAGACACGGCCCAGACUCUUUUGGGAGGCAGCAGUGGGGAAUAUUGGACAAGGGGGGCAAACGUGAUCUAGCAAACCCGCGUGUGUGAAGAAGGCCUUCGGGGGUAAAGCACUUUUAUUGUGGGGAAAAUCCGGAAGGUUAAUACCCGUCCGGGUAAUCGGUACCCGAGGAAUAAGCACCCGGUAAAUUUGUGCCCCCACCCGCGGUAAUACGAAGGGUGCAAGCGUUAAUCGGAAUUACUGGGCGUAAAGGGUGCGUAGGCGGUUUGUUAAGUUCGAUGUGAAAGCCCUGGGCUCAACCUGGGAAUGGCAUCGAAGACUGGCAGACUGGAGUGCGGUAGAGGAUGGUGGAAUUCCCGGUGUAGCGGUGAAAUGCGUAGAGAUCGGGAGGAACACCAGUGGCGAAGGCGGCCAUCUGGACCAGCACUGACGCUGAGGCACGAAAGCGUGGGGAGCAAACAGGGGAUUAGAUACCCUGGUCUCCGCCCUAAAAGAUGAGAAAUGGAUGUGUGGCAUCUAGGCCCUCAGUAUCGAAGCUAACGCGUAAGUAGCCGCUGGAGACCCCACUUG
Molecule: ribosomal RNA, 821 nt
Filed under: bacterium
Lineage: Bacteria
Description: bacterial SSU rRNA
Rfam family: Bacterial small subunit ribosomal RNA
Source: RNAcentral